RNAcentral lists this ribosomal RNA (458 nucleotides) under uncultured Enterobacteriaceae bacterium. Its description in RNAcentral is "bacterial SSU rRNA". It matches the Rfam family "Bacterial small subunit ribosomal RNA", at positions 923 to 1382 of the family's 1533-position model. The record is from RNAcentral. Lineage: Bacteria; Pseudomonadati; Pseudomonadota; Gammaproteobacteria; Enterobacterales; Enterobacteriaceae.
GCACAAGCGGUGGAGCAUGUGGUUUAAUUCGAUGCAACGCGAAGAACCUUACCUGGUCUUGACAUCCACGGAAGUUUUCAGAGAUGAGAAUGUGCCUUCGGGAACCGUGAGACAGGUGCUGCAUGGCUGUCGUCAGCUCGUGUUGUGAAAUGUUGGGUUAAGUCCCGCAACGAGCGCAACCCUUAUCCUUUGUUGCCAGCGGUCCGGCCGGGAACUCAAAGGAGACUGCCAGUGAUAAACUGGAGGAAGGUGGGAUGACGUCAAGUCAUCAUGGCCCUUACGACCAGGGCUACACACGUGCUACAAUGGCGCAUACAAAGAGAAGCGACCUCGCGAGAGCAAGCGGACCUCAUAAAGUGCGUCGUAGUCCGGAUUGGAGUCUGCAACUCGACUCCAUGAAGUCGGAAUCGCUAGUAAUCGUGGAUCAGAAUGCCACGGUGAAUACGUUCCCGGGCCUU